UACAGAGGGUGCGAGCGUUUGUCCGGAAUCACUGGGCGUAAAGGGCGCGUAGGUGGUGGCUUAAGCGUGCGGUGAAAGCUCGGAGCUCAACUCCGAGUCGGCCGUGCGAACUGGGCUCACUGGAGCAUAGUAGAGGCAGGUGGAAUUCCGGGUGUAGCGGUGGAAUGCGUAGAGAUCCGGAAGAACACCGGUGGCGAAGGCGGCCUGCUGGGCUAUGGGCUGACACUGAGGCGCGACAGCGUGGGGAGCAAACAGGG
Molecule: ribosomal RNA, 257 nt
Filed under: uncultured bacterium
Lineage: Bacteria
Description: partial 16S ribosomal RNA
Rfam family: Bacterial small subunit ribosomal RNA
Source: RNAcentral